UUAUUUGCUGUUUUUCUUUGUCUUGUGUUGCACUUGCUUGAUGUUUGACUGGGUUAGGAAAGUUGUUGUCAGCCAGCCAACUAGCCAACAAAGCUACUGGCCGCCAACUCUCACGGUUUCCCCGUUUGCAUGAGAAGCAGAGCGGCUGCACGUAAACUUGCCAUUAAUGAAUCGUGGACGGUGAGACGUUGGAGACGGCAAUGUGUACGUCCCCUUGUUCGGGAUUCGUAGGUGGAACCGGUAGACAGUUAGGUAGACGUUGUAGUCAAAGGACCUGCUGUGAAGAUGGACAACUGACCAACAUCAGGAAGAAAGUUUGUUUUGUACUUUGUUGUUAGGUAUAGAAAAGAUUUCUAUUGGCCCUAAACUAGCGUGGCCGGCCGCAACACAAGAUCCAAUCACUGUGAAAGGGAAGAGCCUUUUCCCCAAAUUGACUGACAAGUGGGGUAGUUCAUUCCUUGUUUGGGACAGGGCACAGAAUAUAUAUGUAACCGCCUAAAUGUGCACAUUAAUGUCAGCACUUGAUUAUAUAAUUGUUCCACAUGACAUGACAACAGUGUUGACGUUAUAUAAGAAUGUAUGUGAAUUAUUAUCAUAACUGUGUAGGAUACAGCAUGUUCAGAUAGACCUGUCAGAACCCCCAGCCAGUUGGUUUCUCCCAAUUAGCCCAAUUGACUGGAAGGCUGUAUAAAGAGGGGAAAGGGAAACGCCAGGAGGGUUUGCAGUGAAGGCACCUGCAGAGAGGUUGAGGUUGUUGGGUUCCUUUUGUUUAUUUAUGUCCAUUAGAAGUGUUCGUUUUUUCUGUUUUCCUGAAGACCACCAAGAUAAUAAAGCGGAAUGGUUAAUAACAUCCCAGAGCGCUGAGUUUUCUUGCCUGCACCUCAUCCCAACGCAAACCUCAGUGAGUCCUUGACGCCUGUGUAGUCGUUGGCCUCAAAGGCGCCACGUCACAAUCACAUACAGCGAUGACAUUACAAUAAUGUAAACAUAACAAACAAAGCGUGAGUGUCGUGUGGUGCUUGCCGUGUCUCCAACUCUCAACCUUAUCAGACCUGUGUCUCAACUCCGGCAAGGACGACGACUGCGUCAGCAGACGUUUUUUCUGCUAGCUAGCGGCUAAACCAGCAAGUCAAUUUUUCCAAAUCGUGUCAAACAUCAACAGUACAAGACAAAACAAAGCAGACGUCCUCUUUUACCCGGACCUUUUCUUUUUUCGAGACCUAAAAAAAUGCAUCCGCGUAAAAGAGGACGCCUGGUCACCCGAGCUAAACUAGGCUAAGCUAUUCGUGUUAGGGUGAGCUUGAGGGCGUUCGUGUUUAUAGUCACAUUUGCUAACCUGUCGUUCUUUGAACUCUCUGAAAAGUUUGCGGUGUCUGUCUGAUGAAGGCGCUUGGCCAUAUUUGAAGUGUUCACUUCCUUUUUGAAGCAGGUUUUACAGACUGGUCUGUGUGUCUCGAUGGAUGCUUUCCAUCGCAGUCUACAUGAGGACACGUCUCCCCCGAUAACUCACCGCGAGUGACGGCUGCACAGUCAAUGCGUGCAGGCAGCCUGACAGGGAGCGGAACAAUUCUGCUACUGACUGGACUUGGAUGAACUGAGGUUGUGCACAGCGAUGCUUCGACCUCCGGCAGACGUUUGCAUGUGAAUGUGCGCUGACCUGCAUGGGGUGUUUCUUCUCUGGAGGAUGAAUGAAAUGUUUUGGGAGGAAAAGGAGCCGUGGCUGAACAGAUCAUAUGUUGACCUGUAAAACCUAUGAAACCGUCUACUGGUGUGUUUGGUGUUCAAGCAGAAACUUAACGGUACUAACGGAUGCAAUAAACAUUUACAUGGA
Molecule: non-coding RNA, 1831 nt
Organism: Gasterosteus aculeatus aculeatus (three-spined stickleback)
Lineage: Eukaryota; Metazoa; Chordata; Actinopteri; Perciformes; Gasterosteidae
Source: RefSeq, a predicted model, not a curated record